CUACUCCAGAGUCUGGUUCCCCUCCACAGAGCGCUGCUGCAUCUAGGUCUAGAAGGCCCAAAGGCAAAUCAGUGGCGCAGAUUAGGGCCGAGUGUGUUAGACGCGACGGGAGGAUCCUCUUUCAGAGGAAUACUGUUGGUAAGUUGAUCGAGCCCCCGGGGAUCUCCACCUGCUGCACGAACUCGUUUAAGAGGAUUCCGAACCCAGGCGGGUACACGUGGAAGUUAACUCCGCCAACGGUGCAGGAGUUGUAUUUUGAGGAAUUCAAGAAAGAGUUUACUUGGAACCCUGAGGAUGAGGCUGAUGUGAAAAAAAUGUGGUUAGAAAAGGCCCGCAAAAGGUACAGUGACAACAUGAGCGAGUAUAAGAGACUGCUCAAGCAGAAGACCGAGGCAGGGGAGAUGAUGGAGACACCGCUGGGCAUGUCCGACACCUUUUGGACGGGACUCAAGGCAUACUGGGAUCAAGAUGAGGUUAAGGCCGUUUCUAGGCGCGCACGUGAGAAUCGAUACUCUGAGCCCGAU
Salvia miltiorrhiza (redroot sage) is the source of this 524-nucleotide long non-coding RNA. RefSeq lists it as uncharacterized. NCBI's taxonomy places the organism in Eukaryota, Viridiplantae, Streptophyta, Magnoliopsida, Lamiales, Lamiaceae. The transcript has 3 exons. The record is from RefSeq and is a predicted model, not a curated record.